AACGAACGCUGGCGGCAUGCCUAACACAUGCAAGUCGAACGAUCACUUCGGUGAUAGUGGCGCACGGGUGCGUAACGCGUGGGAAUCUGCCCCUUGGUUCGGAAUAACUCAGAGAAAUUUGAGCUAAUACCGGAUGACGACGAAAGUCCAAGGAUUUAUCGCCGAGGGAUGAGCCCGCGUAGGAUUAGCUAGUUGGUGGGGUAAAGGCCUACCAAGGCGACGAUCCUUAGCUGGUCUGAGAGGAUGAUCAGCCACACUGGGACUGAGACAGGGCCCAGACUCCUACGGGAGGCAGCAGUGGGGAAUAUUGGACAAUGGGCGAAAGCCUGAUCCAGCAAUGCCGCGUGAGUGAUGAAGGGCUUAGGGUUGUAAAGCUCUUUUACCCGGGAUGAUAAUGACAGUACCGGGAGAAUAAGCUCCGGCUAACUCCGUGCCAGCCGCCGCGGUAA
RNAcentral lists this ribosomal RNA (449 nucleotides) under uncultured bacterium. RNAcentral describes it as "partial 16S ribosomal RNA". It matches the Rfam family "Bacterial small subunit ribosomal RNA", at positions 29 to 523 of the family's 1533-position model. The record is from RNAcentral.